GUUUACAGCCAUAGCACCCUGAACAUGCCUGAUCUUGUCUGAUCUUAGAAGCUAAGCAGGGUCGGGCCUGGUUAGUACUUGGAUGGGAGAAAGAAGAAAAUACUAAACU
Ribosomal RNA from Erinaceus europaeus (western European hedgehog), 109 nucleotides. NCBI's taxonomy places the organism in Eukaryota, Metazoa, Chordata, Mammalia, Eulipotyphla, Erinaceidae. The record is from Ensembl.